RNAcentral lists this ribosomal RNA (253 nucleotides) under uncultured bacterium. RNAcentral describes it as "partial 16S ribosomal RNA". It matches the Rfam family "Bacterial small subunit ribosomal RNA", at positions 524 to 776 of the family's 1533-position model. The record is from RNAcentral.
UACGUAGGGAGCAAGCGUUGUCCGGAAUCAUUGGGCGUAAAGCGCGUGUAGGCGGCUCGGCAAGUCGGGUGUGAAAGCCCUGGGCUUAACCUAGGAAGUGCACUCGAAACUGCCAAGCUUGAGUUCUGGAGAGGAAGGCGGAAUUCUCGGUGUAGAGGUGAAAUUCGUAGAUAUCGAGAGGAACAUCGGUGGCGAAGGCGGCCUUCUGGACAGCGACUGACGCUGAGACGCGAAAGCGUGGGGAGCAAACAGG